Molecule: ribosomal RNA, 999 nt
Filed under: Klebsiella sp. 10982
Lineage: Bacteria; Pseudomonadati; Pseudomonadota; Gammaproteobacteria; Enterobacterales; Enterobacteriaceae
Description: bacterial SSU rRNA
Rfam family: Bacterial small subunit ribosomal RNA
Source: RNAcentral
AGAGUUUGAUCAUGGCUCAGAUUGAACGCUGGCGGCAGGCCUAACACAUGCAAGUCGAGCGGUAGCACAGAGAGCUUGCUCUCGGGUGACGAGCGGCGGACGGGUGAGUAAUGUCUGGGAAACUGCCUGAUGGAGGGGGAUAACUACUGGAAACGGUAGCUAAUACCGCAUAACGUCGCAAGACCAAAGUGGGGGACCUUCGGGCCUCAUGCCAUCAGAUGUGCCCAGAUGGGAUUAGCUAGUAGGUGGGGUAACGGCUCACCUAGGCGACGAUCCCUAGCUGGUCUGAGAGGAUGACCAGCCACACUGGAACUGAGACACGGUCCAGACUCCUACGGGAGGCAGCAGUGGGGAAUAUUGCACAAUGGGCGCAAGCCUGAUGCAGCCAUGCCGCGUGUGUGAAGAAGGCCUUCGGGUUGUAAAGCACUUUCAGCGGGGAGGAAGGCGGUAAGGUUAAUAACCUCAGCGAUUGACGUUACCCGCAGAAGAAGCACCGGCUAACUCCGUGCCAGCAGCCGCGGUAAUACGGAGGGUGCAAGCGUUAAUCGGAAUUACUGGGCGUAAAGCGCACGCAGGCGGUCUGUCAAGUCGGAUGUGAAAUCCCCGGGCUCAACCUGGGAACUGCAUUCGAAACUGGCAGGCUAGAGUCUUGUAGAGGGGGGUAGAAUUCCAGGUGUAGCGGUGAAAUGCGUAGAGAUCUGGAGGAAUACCGGUGGCGAAGGCGGCCCCCUGGACAAAGACUGACGCUCAGGUGCGAAAGCGUGGGGAGCAAACAGGAUUAGAUACCCUGGUAGUCCACGCCGUAAACGAUGUCGAUUUGGAGGUUGUGCCCUUGAGGCGUGGCUUCCGGAGCUAACGCGUUAAAUCGACCGCCUGGGGAGUACGGCCGCAAGGUUAAAACUCAAAUGAAUUGACGGGGGCCCGCACAAGCGGUGGAGCAUGUGGUUUAAUUCGAUGCAACGCGAAGAACCUUACCUGGUCUUGACAUCCACAGAACUU